CAACGUGGGUAACCUGCCCAAGAGACUGGGAUAACACCUGGAAACAGAUGCUAAUACCGGAUAACAACACUAGACGCAUGCCUAGAGUUUAAAAGAUGGUUCUGCUAUCACUCUUGGAUGGACCUGCGGUGCAUUAGCUAGUUGGUAAGGUAACGGCUUACCAAGGCAAUGAUGCAUAGCCGAGUUGAGAGACUGAUCGGCCACAUUGGGACUGAGACACGGCCCAAACUCCUACGGGAGGCAGCAG
Molecule: ribosomal RNA, 247 nt
Filed under: uncultured bacterium
Lineage: Bacteria
Description: partial 16S ribosomal RNA
Rfam family: Bacterial small subunit ribosomal RNA
Source: RNAcentral